RNAcentral lists this ribosomal RNA (687 nucleotides) under uncultured organism. RNAcentral's name for it is "bacterial SSU rRNA". It matches the Rfam family "Bacterial small subunit ribosomal RNA", at positions 222 to 897 of the family's 1533-position model. The record is from RNAcentral.
AGGAUGGACCUGCGUCCCAUUAGCUAGUUGGUGAGGUAACGGCUCACCAAGGCAACGAUGGGUAGCCGGCCUCCCAGGGUGACCGGCCACACUGCGACUGAGAUACGGCCCAGACUCCUACGGGAGGCAGUAGUCAGGAAUAUUGCGCAAUGGCCGAAAGGCUGACGCAUCAACGACGCGCGCCUGAUGACGCUCCAAGGAGUGUCAAGCCCUGUUAGGAGGCAAGAACGACAUUGGCGUGAAUAAUGUAAAUGCAUGACGGUACCUCCAGAGAAAGCCCCGGCUAACUCCUUGCCAGCAGCCGCGGUAAUACGGGGGGCGGAAGCGUUGUCCGUAAUUAUUGGGCGUAAAGGGCGCGUAGGCGGAAUAAUAACUCAGAGGUGAAAACCAUGGGCUUAACUUAUGGCUUGCCUUUGAAACUGUUAUUCUUGAGUGCGGAAGAGGGAAGUGGAAUUCCUGGUGUUGCGGUGAAAUGCGUAGAUAUUCCGAAGAACACCGGUAGCGAAGGCGGCUUCCUGGUCCGCAACUGAAGCUGAGGCGCGAAAGCUUGGGGAGCAAACGGGAUUAGAUACCCUGGGAGUCCACGCCGUAAAAGAUGGGCACUAGAUGUUGGUUCACGAUGAGUGGAUCAUGCACCGAAGCUAACGCAUGAAGUACCCCGCCUGGCGAGUACGAUCGCAAGGUUGA